UUUUCAACUACCUCCCUUGAUUCUCUUCUAUAAAUGGAGAGUCCUUUCAAUGAAUCAAAAGAAAAAAAUAUGGCCUGCUCCAGUCUUCCUCUUACUCUUCUUUGCCUCGUUGUAUCUGGAGUGCUCUUGUUUGGAGCGAUCAACAGCGGUGCUGAAACCAAGAUAUGCCCACAGAUUUGUUAUAGGUCCAAGUAUAUGAUGUGCAAAUCUUCAGGGAAUGUGAGGCUCACUCCCACGUGCAACUGCUGCAUGGCUCCAAGCGGCUGCACCAUUUAUCUCGCGGACGGGACUGUUCUUUGCUCUUCUUAGAACCAUUUGGUUCUUGGUUCAGUUGGUAUGUGUGUAGCCAGCUGCUUUGGGUACAGAAUAAUAUUAUAACUCAAAUUCCCUUCAUAGAAAGCUUGAGACUUUGAACUUUGAUGUAUUGAAUUGAAGUUUGUGUUUUAGAAAAUCCUGGAUUUUAAUGAAAAGUAGCUAAGGUGUUUUUAUUU
Molecule: long non-coding RNA, 491 nt
Organism: Magnolia sinica
Lineage: Eukaryota; Viridiplantae; Streptophyta; Magnoliopsida; Magnoliales; Magnoliaceae
Exons: 2
Source: RefSeq, a predicted model, not a curated record